UGAAUACGAGACGCUAAGGCGUCGAAGUAGUGUAUGUCAUACUUCCAAGAAAAGCUUGCACUGUCAUAGAUAAAAAACGCCUGUACCAUAACCGACACAGGUGGGUAGGUAGAGUAUACUAAGGGGCGCGAGAUAACUCUCCCUAAGGAACUCGGCAAAAUAACUCCGUAACUUCGGGAGAAGGAGUGCCUUAUUCGUAAGGUUGCAAUAACAAGAUCCAAGCAACUGUUUAUCAAAAACACAGGUCUCCGCUAAGUCGUAAGACGAUGUAUGGGGGCUGACGCCUGCCCAGUGCCAGAAGGUUAAAGAAGUUGGUUAGCAAUUGCGAAGCUGAUAACUGAAGCCCUGGUGAACGGCGGCCGUAACGAUAACGGUCCUAAGGUAGCGAAAUUCCUUGUCGGGUAAGUUCCGACCCGCACGAAAGGCGUAAUGAUUUGGAUACUGUCUCGGAGAGGGGCUCGGUGAAAUAGACUUGUCUGUGAAGAUGCGGACUACCUGCACCAGGACAGAAAGACCCUAUGAAGCUUUACUGUAACUUGAAAUUGAAAUUGGACUUUAUUCGCGCAGUAUAGGUGGGAGGCGUUGAUUAUAAUCUUGUGGGAUUAUUGGAGCCAUCAGUGAGAUACCACUCUUGUAAUGUUAGAUUUCUAACUUUGAAUCAUUAUCUGGUCAAAGAACAGUUUCAGGCGGGCAGUUUGACUGGGGCGGUCGCCUCCUAAACGGUAACGGAGGCGUACAAAGGUUUCCUCUGAACGGUUAGAAAUCGUAUCUAGAGUGUAAAGGCAUAAGGAAGCUUGACUGUGUGACCUACAAGUCGAGCAGGGACGAAAGUCGGUCUUAGUGAUCUGACGGUACUGAGUGGAAAGGCCGUCACUCAACGGAUAAAAGUUACUCUAGGAUAACAGGCUGAUCUCCCCCAAGAGUUCACAUCGACGGGGAGGUUUGGCACCUCGAUGUCGGCUCAUCGCAUCCUGGGGCGGUAGUACGUCCCAAGGGUUGGGCUGUUCGCCCAUGAAAGCGGUACGCGAGCUGGGUUCAGAACGUCGUGAGACAGUUCGGUCCAUAUCCGGUGUAGGCGUUAGAAUAUUGAGAGGAGCCUUCUUUAGUACGAGAGGACCGAGAAGGACAUACCUCUGGUGUACCAGUUAUCGUGCCAACGGUAAACGCUGGGUAGCUAUGUAUGGAGUGGAUAACCGCUGAAAGCAUCUAAGUGGGAAGCCCCCCUCAAGAUAAGUAUUCUCA
Molecule: ribosomal RNA, 1242 nt
Filed under: metagenome
Description: bacterial LSU rRNA
Rfam family: Bacterial large subunit ribosomal RNA
Source: RNAcentral